GCCUCGGUAGCGCAGUUGGUUAGCGCGUCAGUCUCAUAAUCUGAAGGCCGUGAGUUCGAACCUCACCCGGGGCA
Molecule: non-coding RNA, 74 nt
Organism: Schistocephalus solidus
Lineage: Eukaryota; Metazoa; Platyhelminthes; Cestoda; Diphyllobothriidea; Diphyllobothriidae
Source: Rfam